Molecule: ribosomal RNA, 253 nt
Filed under: uncultured bacterium
Lineage: Bacteria
Description: partial 16S ribosomal RNA
Rfam family: Bacterial small subunit ribosomal RNA
Source: RNAcentral
GACAGAGGGUGCAAACGUUGUUCGGAAUUACUGGGCGUAAAGCGCGUGUAGGCAGCUCGGAAAGUCGGAUGUGAAAGCCCUGGGCUCAACCUAGGAAGUGCAUUCGAAACUUCCGAGCUUGAGUGCUGGAGAGGAAGGCGGAAUUCUCGGUGUAGAGGUGAAAUUCGUAGAUAUCGAGAGGAACACCGGUGGCGAAGGCGGCCUUCUGGACAGUAACUGACGCUGAGACGCGAAAGCGUGGGGAGCAAACAGG